This 377-nucleotide unclassified non-coding RNA is filed under the name uncultured Parachlamydiaceae bacterium. Its description in RNAcentral is "contains 16S-23S intergenic spacer region". Lineage: Bacteria; Pseudomonadati; Chlamydiota; Chlamydiia; Parachlamydiales; Parachlamydiaceae. The record is from RNAcentral.
UCCUGGUUAACCCAGGCAGUCUCAUUAGAGUUCCCAUCCGAAAUGUUGGCAACUAAUGAUAAGGGUUGCGCUCGUUGCGGGACUUAACCCAACACCUCACGGCACGAGCUGACGACAGCCAUGCAGCACCUGUGUAAAGGCCCCGAAGGGAGAUCUCAUCUCUGAGACUGUCCUCUACAUGUCAAAUCUGGGUAAGGUUCUUCGCGUUGCAUCGAAUUAAACCACAUGCUCCACUGCUUGUGCGGGUCCCCGUCAAUUCUUUUGAGUUUCAGCCUUGCGACUGUACUCCCCAGGCGGUAUACUUAACACGUUAGCUACGGCACAACUGGGGUUGAGUCCAGUUACACCAAGUAUACAUCGUUUACGGCAAGGACUAC